Molecule: ribosomal RNA, 498 nt
Filed under: uncultured Sphingobacteriales bacterium
Lineage: Bacteria; Pseudomonadati; Bacteroidota; Sphingobacteriia; Sphingobacteriales
Description: bacterial SSU rRNA
Rfam family: Bacterial small subunit ribosomal RNA
Source: RNAcentral
UUGCCAGCCCGCUCAGAAACUCAAAGGAAUUGACGGGGCCCGCACAAGCGGUGGAGCAUGUGGUUUAAUUCGAUGAUACGCGAGGAACCUUACCUGGGCUCAAAUGUAUGUUGACGUAUUCUGAAAGGGAUACUUCUUCGGACAAUAUACAAGGUGCUGCAUGGUUGUCGUCAGCUCGUGCCGUGAGGUGUCGGGUUAAGUCCCAUAACGAGCGCAACCCCUAUCAUUAGUUGCCAUCAGGUCAAGCUGGGGACUCUAAUGAAACUGCCUACGCAAGUAGUGAGGAAGGUGGGGAUGACGUCAAAUCAGCACGGCCCUUACGUCCAGGGCUACACACGUGCUACAAUGGCCGGUACAAAGGGCAGCGAAGCCGCGAGGCAAAGCGAAUCGCAAAAAGCCGGUCUCAGUACGGAUUGGAGUCUGAAACCCGACUCCAUGAAGUUGGAAUCGCUAGUAAUCGCGCAUCAGCAUGGCGCGGUGAAUACGUUCCCGGGCCUU